RNAcentral lists this unclassified non-coding RNA (986 nucleotides) under Hevea brasiliensis (rubber tree). The record is from RNAcentral. Lineage: Eukaryota; Viridiplantae; Streptophyta; Magnoliopsida; Malpighiales; Euphorbiaceae.
AUGCCUUCAUUGCUAGUUGCAGGUUAUUUUAACUGCUACUGACCAGUGCAGGAUAUAAUGUUUUCUCCUUUCAACUAAAAUCUUUUGAUAAUAGGCCUGCGCAUUGUGCCCAUGGUAAAUAUUAGCAGAAUGAGUACCAAGUAUUUUUAUGUUAUAUUUUUGUACAUUUUUUUCCUUUCGCUGAUGAUGGUUGAGUUUAACUUCAAUAAUUUCAGAGUACAUAGGAAUUGAAUUAUAUUCAGUGUAAAGAAAGUAUAUUCCUUAUGCCUCCUUCAUUCCCCCUACUGUAUUUGACUGAGUUAAUUAGAUGUACCAUCAUUGUUUAUGCAAACAUGAUCUUUUAUGGCUUAUGAAAAGAGAGGUGGAAUUAUACUGUACACUGUGUUGCCUAUCAAAGAAUUGAAUCGCAUAUGCAUAUGAUUUGGAUGAUUCAGAUAUUUCCUGUGUUCUGUUGGGUGUCUUCUUUUCAGCAUUCUAUAAUUGUAUUAGCAAGUUAAAUAGAUUGUACUUAUUUGUGUUUGAUUGGACACAGUAACUGUCAUGGUAGAGAUGGAGUGCUACAAUUGUAUAAUGUAACAAAUGUUGUACAAAAUGAGGGAAUGAUUAAGCCUGUUUACUGUUGAAAUAGAUUUGCUUGUCCUGACAAGCUGCCAAGGCAGUGCACUAUAACUUGUUAGCUCAGUUUCUCUAGAACUUCUAUGUGGAAAUAUGGCAAGUCUGGAAUCUGACGAUGUGAUUAUUCUGAUUCAUAUGUUAGUUUUCACUGUGCUUACUGUAUGUGCCUUAUCGAACACUUUUCUUGUACAGCUUAUUCCAGUCUUUCUUCUGAAAGCCAAGAUUAUAAAUCUAUUUUUUUUUUCUUGUAUAAUUAAUUUCUGCUGCUAAGAAACAAAAGCUGGUCUUUACCAUUGGUGUGAUUGUUUCUGAAACUAAGCUAGGGAAGCUGGUCUAGUUUUUCUAUGUCAGUGUUGAAAAUUUUAGCAAAU